GGUUGUGUUAGAAGGUCUAAUUGAUCCUUGGGAAGUGCAUCCUCAUGGGUUGCAAUUACUGUAAUCCUUAUAUGUGCACCUCUUUCUUGGUGAUUAUUGAUUUGUGCGCUUGUAUGAUAUGUAAUUGCGUCGCCUACUUUAAUGGUGCACUUAUAUCUGAUAGGUCAAGUGAAGUUCCCAGUAGAUGUACUCUUAGACCUGUAAUUGUUUCCUUUUAUGUUUUAAUAACUGUAAAAUGUCUGGAAUUGUUUUUAAAACAUAAAAGGAAACAAUUACAGGU
RNAcentral lists this unclassified non-coding RNA (280 nucleotides) under Hevea brasiliensis (rubber tree). Lineage: Eukaryota; Viridiplantae; Streptophyta; Magnoliopsida; Malpighiales; Euphorbiaceae. The record is from RNAcentral.